GAUGAACGCUGGCGGCGUGCCUAAUACAUGCAAGUCGAGCGAAUGGAUUAAGAGCUUGCUCUUAUGAAGUUAGCGGCGGACGGGUGAGUAACACGUGGGUAACCUGCCCAUAAGACUGGGAUAACUCCGGGAAACCGGGGCUAAUACCGGAUAACAUUUUGAACCGCAUGGUUCGAAAUUGAAAGGCGGCUUCGGCUGUCACUUAUGGAUGGACCCGCGUCGCAUUAGCUAGUUGGUGAGGUAACGGCUCACCAAGGCAACGAUGCGUAGCCUACCUGGGAGGGUGGUCGGACACGCUGGGACGGGGACACGGCCCAGACUCCGACGGGAGGCAGCAGUAGGGAAUCUUCCGCAAUGGACGAAAGUCUGACGGAGCAACGCCGCGUGAGUGAUGAAGGCUUUCGGGUCGUAAAACUCUGUCGUUAGGGAAGAACAAGUGCUAGUUGAAUAAGCUGGCACCUUGACGGUACCUAACCAGAAAGCCACGGCUAACUACGUGCCAGCCGCCGCCGUAA
RNAcentral lists this ribosomal RNA (515 nucleotides) under uncultured bacterium. RNAcentral describes it as "partial 16S ribosomal RNA". It matches the Rfam family "Bacterial small subunit ribosomal RNA", at positions 28 to 523 of the family's 1533-position model. The record is from RNAcentral.